GACUCUCGGCAACGGAUAUCUCGGCUCUCGCAUCGAUGAAGAACGUAGCGAAAUGCGAUACUUGGUGUGAAUUGCAGAAUCCCGUGAACCAUCGAGUCUUUGAACGCAAGUUGUGCCCCAAGCCAUUAGGCCGAGGGCACGUCUGCCUGGGUGUCA
This 156-nucleotide ribosomal RNA is filed under the name Gossypium arboreum. RNAcentral's name for it is "5.8S ribosomal RNA". It matches the Rfam family "5.8S ribosomal RNA". From Rfam's summary of the family: 5.8S ribosomal RNA (5.8S rRNA) is a component of the large subunit of the eukaryotic ribosome. It is transcribed by RNA polymerase I as part of the 45S precursor that also contains 18S and 28S rRNA. The record is from Rfam by way of RNAcentral. Lineage: Eukaryota; Viridiplantae; Streptophyta; Magnoliopsida; Malvales; Malvaceae.